Melitaea cinxia (Glanville fritillary) is the source of this 1279-nucleotide long non-coding RNA. RefSeq lists it as uncharacterized. NCBI's taxonomy places the organism in Eukaryota, Metazoa, Arthropoda, Insecta, Lepidoptera, Nymphalidae. The record is from RefSeq and is a predicted model, not a curated record. The transcript has 6 exons.
CAGUGUGUAUUGUGUACAAAAUACGAACUUGUGGACUAAUUUAGCUAGAUAAAAAUUUGUGUUGUGUGUAAAGCUUCGUUUUAUGUUUAAUUACGUAAAACAUUUAAGAUGGCUUUUAUGUAUGCAUUAGUUUUAUUUUUAAAUGAUUCGUCCAAUAAAGAAAUUGAUAUAUUGAAUAUCGUGGUACCGGAUGUAAAUAGCCUGAAUCAUUGUUAAAAAGUACUAAGUAUUGUAAAUUAUUACAAACGAUAGUUAAACAUUGUGAAGGGUCUGACCGACAUGGCCAACGUUUUAUGUUCAAAUAAGUGUCACAGCAGAAACAAUGGAAGAGGCAGAGGAAAAAUUAAUAAGAUUAAAAAGAACCCCUAUUCUUCUCUACCAAUAAUGAGUAGUCUGGUAAAGCAAAAGCGGCUGCUGUUGAAAAACUUUCAAAUUAAAAGCAUUAGCAAAGGAUUGAUUAAAAAUAGAUAAUAUAUUUAGCCAAAUAGCUUUAGAGUUAACUGACGAACCCACUGAAAUUGCAGAACCUAAGAAAUAAAAGCCAUAAAAAUGUAACCAAAAAAUUGUGAAGAAACAAGCCUAAAAACAUAGUCUCGAAUGGUCAUCUACAUCAAUAGUGUCUUUGAUAUCUUCAUCACCACCGUCAUUGUUAUGUAAACCUACGAAAAUAAAUAAUGAAACUAAAAAAAACGUAUUAAUGACAGUACUAACUACAUAGUUGGCUCAAAAAAAAGGAAAAAAAUUAGUUCAUAAUCUACACCAUACUACCUUGAUCAUCUUCAUCAUCACCAUCAACUAAACGUAGAAAAAUAAGAAAAAUCAACUCAAAUUUGAAGGACAUAAAUAUGCGUAUGGAAAUAGCACAUGAAGACAGUACAUUAGCAACAAUUGCUGAUAAUCCCUUUUCAUCAUCAUCAUAAAUCUGAAACAGAAGCUGAAAUGAAUAUAUUAGCAGCUAGAUCAUCAUCAACAAAAAAUACUGUAUCCAGUGAUUCUUUGCUGGAAUGUAUCAAACAUAAUUAUAACGGUCUAUCAAAACAAUUAGCAAAUUUAAAAGGCCAUAUCUGCUGACGUUCCCAAAUCCUAUCUGAAAUAAAAAAAUAACAGUACUCAGCUGUUAGAUUUCAGUUUAUUAACAGAUCCUGAAGGAAAUCCAGUGGUCCAAAAAUUAGAAUUUCCGCUAUCAACAAUGGAAGAUAUUAUUUUGAUAAAUUCAAUGAAAAAUUAAAAGGCCAAAAAUAUAAAAAUAAAAUGAAUAAACGUAUAUACUUUUCUCUUG